RNAcentral lists this ribosomal RNA (1313 nucleotides) under Salmonella enterica. RNAcentral describes it as "partial 23S ribosomal RNA". It matches the Rfam family "Bacterial large subunit ribosomal RNA", at positions 1638 to 2925 of the family's 2925-position model. The record is from RNAcentral. RNAcentral also lists the same sequence under 1 other name. Lineage: Bacteria; Pseudomonadati; Pseudomonadota; Gammaproteobacteria; Enterobacterales; Enterobacteriaceae.
GAAAUCGUACCCCAAACCGACACAGGUGGUCAGGUAGAGAAUACCAAGGCGCUUGAGAGAACUCGGGUGAAGGAACUAGGCAAAAUGGUGCCGUAACUUCGGGAGAAGGCACGCUGACACGUAGGUGAAGUGAUUUACUCAUGGAGCUGAAGUCAGUCGAAGAUACCAGCUGGCUGCAACUGUUUAUUAAAAACACAGCACUGUGCAAACACGAAAGUGGACGUAUACGGUGUGACGCCUGCCCGGUGCCGGAAGGUUAAUUGAUGGGGUCAGCGUAAGCGAAGCUCCUGAUCGAAGCCCCGGUAAACGGCGGCCGUAACUAUAACGGUCCUAAGGUAGCGAAAUUCCUUGUCGGGUAAGUUCCGACCUGCACGAAUGGCGUAAUGAUGGCCAGGCUGUCUCCACCCGAGACUCAGUGAAAUUGAACUCGCUGUGAAGAUGCAGUGUACCCGCGGCAAGACGGAAAGACCCCGUGAACCUUUACUAUAGCUUGACACUGAACAUUGAGCCUUGAUGUGUAGGAUAGGUGGGAGGCUUUGAAGUGUGGACGCCAGUCUGCAUGGAGCCGACCUUGAAAUACCACCCUUUAAUGUUUGAUGUUCUAACGUGGACCCGUAAUCCGGGUUGCGGACAGUGUCUGGUGGGUAGUUUGACUGGGGCGGUCUCCUCCUAAAGAGUAACGGAGGAGCACGAAGGUUGGCUAAUCCUGGUCGGACAUCAGGAGGUUAGUGCAAUGGCAUAAGCCAGCUUGACUGCGAGCGUGACGGCGCGAGCAGGUGCGAAAGCAGGUCAUAGUGAUCCGGUGGUUCUGAAUGGAAGGGCCAUCGCUCAACGGAUAAAAGGUACUCCGGGGAUAACAGGCUGAUACCGCCCAAGAGUUCAUAUCGACGGCGGUGUUUGGCACCUCGAUGUCGGCUCAUCACAUCCUGGGGCUGAAGUAGGUCCCAAGGGUAUGGCUGUUCGCCAUUUAAAGUGGUACGCGAGCUGGGUUUAGAACGUCGUGAGACAGUUCGGUCCCUAUCUGCCGUGGGCGCUGGAGAACUGAGGGGGGCUGCUCCUAGUACGAGAGGACCGGAGUGGACGCAUCACUGGUGUUCGGGUUGUCAUGCCAAUGGCACUGCCCGGUAGCUAAAUGCGGAAGAGAUAAGUGCUGAAAGCAUCUAAGCACGAAACUUGCCCCGAGAUGAGUUCUCCCUGAGACUUAGAGUCUCCUGAAGGAACGUUGAAGACGACGACGUUGAUAGGCCGGGUGUGUAAGCGCAGCGAUGCGUUGAGCUAACCGGUACUAAUGAACCGUGAGGCUUAACCUUACA